CAAAUACGUUUUACUGUGCUUAUAGUUACUCAACGCGCAGGGCUCAAGUUUUGAAGAGGGGGGGGGGAGGGGGAGGACUGAACGCUACGGCUGACCGGGCGUGGACACUACGUGCAGCGGUUACGGUUACAGACACCGUCGGGAAGGUUGGAGGGGAGCCAGCGCGGACUUUUUUUUCAGCGUGAGAAAUACGAUGUGUGGCGUAACACUUGAGAGCCCUGACGCCACCAGUUACAGCGCGUGCAAAGCUCUUCACAAUCGAAUGCAUUUAUUCCAUGCUAAAUGCAUUAAAUUGACAUUGACAAGAGCGCAAGUGCAUAGAAACUGCAGUUGGACUAACGUUAGGCAGAAUUACACGUUAAAGCUCUGCAGCUCUGUUUCGUGCUGAGGAAAUGUUGGCUAAAGUGGAGAUUGGAGGGGUCCUAAAAUACGUGAAAAUUCCAGAGACUGAUGGAUUUUUUCAAUUUGAUAUGUUCCUUCAAGAAGGUUUGUAGUUUAUGGCUAUAUAUUUUGCAUUCAUUACUGUUCUCACUGUAGUUGAACAUUCAAUUUAAAAAUUAUCUGAAUAAAGAGGUCAAAAGUACUAGUGUUAUUAGCAUAUUAAUGACCAAAAUGGCUUUGUCCAAACAUGAAAAAAAUCUCCAUGCCUAAUUCAUAUUGUUAUUGCUUUAUACUAAUACUUUUUAUUCUUCUAGUGAACGACAAGUUUAGUCUGCAGCCAGACAGCUUCAGUGAGGGCCAGUUCACCAUCACAGAUAUGUCAGGAACAGAGGUGGAUGGAGAUAUCUUUGAUGAGCUUGUCAAGUCGGGUGUCCUGACCUUCAAGGUCCCUUUACCAGUAAUGGGUAAGGAUGUGAAGGCUGGGGUUUGAUGAGGUAUCACAGACAACGUCAAGUAGAAAGCACAGUGUUUUGUCGGAAAUAUAUUUUUGAGAGACCUCAACCUAUGCUAUAAUUUGAUAUACUACUGAUCAUUGUCUUAAAUACAUAUGAUCUAUCAC
Gasterosteus aculeatus aculeatus (three-spined stickleback) is the source of this 1000-nucleotide long non-coding RNA. The record is from Ensembl. NCBI's taxonomy places the organism in Eukaryota, Metazoa, Chordata, Actinopteri, Perciformes, Gasterosteidae.